UCCCCAAAAUUUAACCUAAACCCUUUAUUUUUAUCGAGUAAUUCUAUAAAUCUAUAGAAGAUAUCAUGUUAAAACUAGUAACAAGAAGAAAACCCUUCUCUUAAAUGCAAGUGUAAGCCAGAAAGGAUAAACCGCUGUCAAUUAACACUACUGACUCUUUAAUAGCAACACUACAAGAAAACUCUAUUUUUUUAAGCGUUAAACUAACACAAGAGCAUUUCAAGAAAGAUUAAAAGAAAAAGAAGGAACUCGGCAAACACUAACCCCGCCUGUUUACCAAAAACAUCGCCUCUUGAGAAAUAUAAGAGGUCCAGCCUGCCCAGUGACCUAGUUCAACGGCCGCGGUAUCCUAACCGUGCGAAGGUAGCGUAAUCACUUGUUCUUUAAAUAAGGACUAGUAUGAAUGGCACCACGAGGGUUUAACUGUCUCCUUUUUCUAAUCAGUGAAACUAAUCUCCCCGUGAAGAAGCUGGGAUUUUUUUAUAAGACGAGAAGACCCUAUGGAGCUUUAAACUAUUUUACACCUGCUGCCCACAAACCAACUUCCAGAAAUUAACCCUAAAGCAUAGCACUUUGAUUAAUAGUUUUUGAUUGGGGUGAUCGCGGAGUAAAAAAUAACCUCCACGACGAAAGGAUUUUUCCUGAGCCAUAAGCCACAGCUUUAAGCACUAAUAUUAUUAACGGCUAUUGACCCAAUAAUUUUGAUCAACGAACCAAGUUACCCUAGGGAUAACAGCGCAAUCCACUUCAAGAGCUCCUAUCGACAAGUGGGUUUACGACCUCGAUGUUGGAUCAGGGUAUCCUAGUGGUGCAGCCGCUACUAAC
Molecule: ribosomal RNA, 825 nt
Filed under: Boana crepitans (emerald-eyed treefrog)
Lineage: Eukaryota; Metazoa; Chordata; Amphibia; Anura; Hylidae
Description: partial 16S ribosomal RNA
Rfam family: Bacterial large subunit ribosomal RNA
Source: RNAcentral